CCAGAGAACUUAGCAGAGAUGCUUUGGUGCCUUCGGGAACUCUGAGACAGGUGCUGCAUGGCUGUCGACAGCUCGUGUUGUGAAAUGUUGGGUUAAGUCCCGCAACGAGCGCAACCCUUAUCCUUUGUUGCCAGCGGCUCGGCCGGGAACUCAAAGGAGACUGCCGGUGAUAAACCGGAGGAAGGUGGGGAUGACGUCAAGUCAUCAUGGCCCUUACGGCCAGGGCUACACACGUGCUACAAUGGCGCAUACAAAGAGAAGCGACCUCGCGAGAGCAAGCGGACCUCAUAAAGUGCGUCGUAGUCCGGAUUGGAGUCUGCAACUCGACUCCAUGAAGUCGGAAUCGCUAGUAAUCGUAGAUCAGAAUGCUACGGUGAAUACGUUCCCGGGCCUUGUACACACCGCCCGUCACACCAUGGGAGUGGGUUGCAAAAGAAGUAGGUAGCUUAACCUUCGGGAGGGCGCUUACCACUUUGUGAUUCAUGACUGGGGUGAAGUCGUAACAAGGUAGGCGUAGCGAG
This 521-nucleotide ribosomal RNA is filed under the name uncultured bacterium. RNAcentral describes it as "bacterial SSU rRNA". It matches the Rfam family "Bacterial small subunit ribosomal RNA", at positions 988 to 1509 of the family's 1533-position model. The record is from RNAcentral.